This 182-nucleotide non-coding RNA is filed under the name Halobacillus shinanisalinarum. RNAcentral describes it as "Halobacillus sp. SSTM10-2 6S RNA". It matches the Rfam family "6S / SsrS RNA". From Rfam's summary of the family: E. coli 6S RNA was the first non coding RNA to be sequenced, but its function was unknown until recently. It consists of 184 nucleotides that fold into an extended hairpin structure with a large single-stranded internal bulge. The record is from RNAcentral. Lineage: Bacteria; Bacillati; Bacillota; Bacilli; Caryophanales; Bacillaceae.
CCAAUCCUGAUGUGUGCGUUGUUCGAAUGUACGUUUUGACCGAACAUUUUUGAAACGGGAGCCUGGAGUUUCCUCAUGGAAUGCAAGCCUUAUUACUGAGGACGCAAGAAGUGAGGAGCAGGGCACCCACCUGCCUGGAGCGGGUUCAAAACUCAUGAUACGACGGCACAAUUGGGAUUGGA